UCACAGUGUAGCUGGUUCCAGCUCCACACGUGCAAAGCCUCCUAUGUUUAAUUGGAAUGUUUCUCUUCUGGAUGACUUCAUGGGCUGCUCUGACAGAGCUAUGUGCAGAGCUGGGUUCUCCUGCCCUGGGUGAGCAAUGCUGUUUGUACACUUCAUAUGCUUUUCACUUGGCAGCUGGCCUCAUCCCAACCAAGUCAGGAGUAAAAAUUCAUGAUGAUUUCAGCUGGCCAAAGGGUCAGGAGGCUGAGGAUGGAUAUCUGGAUGCUGCAGCACUCUGGGGAGAGCAAGGAACAGCAGCCUCUCCAAGAAGCCUCUACUAUGAAAAGAAAGAAGUAAAAGCAAGAAUCCCAAGAGUGCCUACAAGCCAUGGAGAGCUUGUUUGAACGACAAACAUGGGGAUAAGGCAAGGCAGUGUAAUUGACUGAGAAGGGAGAGCCUUGGGGUGUCUUCUGGGUGCUGCAGGAUCAUAGGUACGUCACUUCCCGUGUGCAUGUGGACUUCCCACCUGGGGUGUGAUGCCUUCCAAUUCCUCUUGGGUAUUGAGCCCCACCUACUCCUCUGGGGUUCCAAUGCUGGUCACACAGGGCAGUUUAAUGUAAUAUAAAUCAUCAAAUGAAAGAGGGGAUUUAAAAAUAAUUUCUUUUGUUACUGGUACUUCAAAAUACUUUACAAGCCAUAUCGAGAGGAUUUUAAAAAAUCUUUCUUUAUGAGUUGCUUUCUUUUCCAGAAUAGUAUCCUUGGAAAUGACCCACUGGGUAAAAACAAAACAAUACUAAAUCCCUGUGAAAAGCAGCCAUUUGAACUUCCAUGAAAGCCAUUACCUUCAAAAGCCUGCGCUGUGUUUGGGUGGCACUGUGGAGACGGAAGGGUUGGGACUAAGGGGACAGGAGGUGCCAUGGAUCGCCAUGCAGAGUGCCGUGAGUGCAUUUGUCUGUGUAGCAGGCUCAGACACAGACCUUGCAGUGUGAGCCCAGGCCAGUGCCCGCUCAGGGUGCUACAUUUCACAUCAGCACAGCUCAGUUAAGACACAGCCACACAGAAAUCAGUAGGAAGAAGAAGCCGCAGAGUAAACAACUGUCCCACUUGUCCAGGUAGCUGCUUGUGUCUUUACCCCUUAUUUUAAGCACCAGAUAAAGAGACCACUAUAUUCACAUUGGCACCCCAGCUGUGCUGGCAGGUUUUGUUUUUCCAGGUGCCAGGCACCACUCAGGAGCUUACAUCCUCAGACUAAUCGGGCUUGAGGUUUGUUACCAUGCCAUGCUAGUCAGACUGAACACAUAAUUUUUAAAAUGUCUGAGAGAGGUGACGCCAGAGUUUUUGUCAUGUCCUUAGGGAAAGAUCAGGAAUGGAAACUCACUAUGUUUUUUUUUAAACAAUUACUGGAGGAGCUUUUGGAGAUACUAGUCAGAGACUGGUAGAGGGGCCAUGCCAUGUGGGAGCUCACUCUUUCCUCCUGGCAUAACUAACUAGGGGAGCUGAAAAGAGCAACUGAAAAGAGUCAAAAAGUACUUGGGAUGCUUGGAAAUGUCUGCCUGUUGUCUGACCACCUACCCCCAGCUUUGUUGAGAACACGCCCAUGUGCCAGAAGGAGCAAGAGAGCUGCUGUAGGUUUUGAAGCCACUUCCCAAGCUGCCCUCAUACUUCUCCAUAUGGUCCUGCCAUUUUAUUAAAUUCUUCUGGAGUUGCUCCUGACCUAAGCUAAGUACUUUUCUAUUGACAUCAACUUUUGCCACUUCACUAUUCACCCCCAGGUUAUUAAUAAAGCAUUAAACAAUAUUGGUCUGAGUCUCACUCUCUAGGGCACCUCAUUAUUAAUCUCUUUCCCUACUAGAAUUGGCCAUUUAUUCCACACCCAUUUAUAACCAGAUUUUAAUCCAUGACAGGACUUUACCUCUCACUUUGUGGUUACCAAGUUUCCUUAACAGUUUCUUGUAUGGGUGUUUAUCAAAAGGCUUUUGAAUGCCCAAAUAAAUUAUUUUCUCUGGUUGUUCUUUACUCACUAUUUUAUUAAGUCUUAAAAGUGUAAAAGGUCUGACUGGCAAGAUUUAUUCUUAUAGCAGCUAUGUUUCUUUUUCUCUUUUGCCUGAGACUUGAUAUUUCCCUGCAGAUUGUAAAAUAUUUAAAAGAGUGACCCUCUAAAUCUAGUGGCUUGAAGCAGCACCAGAUGUGUUGUCAAUGUUUAAUUAAAAAAAAAAGCGAAUGUAAUAUACUGCUGACUUUCUCAACUACUUCCUUGUAAUGAAGUUAAGUUAAUAAUGUAAAAUUUCCAUGAGCUCGUCU
This is a long non-coding RNA of Passer domesticus (house sparrow), 2280 nucleotides long. RefSeq lists it as uncharacterized. Lineage: Eukaryota; Metazoa; Chordata; Aves; Passeriformes; Passeridae. The transcript has 3 exons. The record is from RefSeq and is a predicted model, not a curated record.